GAUCCUGGCUCAGGACGAACGCUGGCGGCAUGCCUAACACAUGCAAGUCGAACGGAGUAAUGACUUCGGUUAUACUUAGUGGCGAACGGGUGAGUAACACGUGAAUAAUCUGCCCUGUACGAUGGGAUAACAGCUGGAAACGGCUGCUAAUACCGUAUAUGACCACGCCGAGGCAUCUCGGAGGGGUGAAAGCGCUUAAGCGGUACAGGAUGAGUUCGCGUCCAAUUAGCUAGUUGGUGAGGUAACGGCCCACCAAGGCGACGAUUGGUAGCCGACCUGAGAGGGUGAUCGGCCACACUGGAACUGAGACACGGUCCAGACUCCUACGGGAGGCAGCAGUGGGGAAUAUUGGGCAAUGAAGGAAACUCCUUACCCAGCAAUGCCGCGUGAGUGAUGAAGGUCUUCGGAUUGUAAAGCUCUUUGAUUGGGGACGAAUAAAUGACGGUACCCAAGGAACAAGCCCCGGCUAACUAUGUGCCAGCCGCCGC
Molecule: ribosomal RNA, 488 nt
Filed under: uncultured bacterium
Lineage: Bacteria
Description: bacterial SSU rRNA
Rfam family: Bacterial small subunit ribosomal RNA
Source: RNAcentral